AUUCAUUCCUUCAUUCAAAUACGUUUUGUGUCAGCUUUAGGUCAAGUACCAUUCUAAAGACUGGAAAGACCACUAUAUAGAAUCUAGACAAAAAUUUCUGCUCUUACAGACGUUAUAUUUUAGAGAUAUAAGAGAUAAUUAGCAGAAAUAAUUAAUAGAACAUGCUAGAUGGUGAUAUGAAUAAUAGAUGAAUAAACCAUGAAAGAAUAGAAAUGGGAAAGUUUAUUAGGUAAAAUAAGAGUUUUCCAUCUUAUAUAAU
RNAcentral lists this long non-coding RNA (259 nucleotides) under Marmota monax (woodchuck). Lineage: Eukaryota; Metazoa; Chordata; Mammalia; Rodentia; Sciuridae. The record is from RNAcentral.